This 311-nucleotide long non-coding RNA is filed under the name Gossypium barbadense (sea-island cotton). Its description in RNAcentral is "long non-coding RNA (GBAR_LNC003785)". Lineage: Eukaryota; Viridiplantae; Streptophyta; Magnoliopsida; Malvales; Malvaceae. The record is from RNAcentral.
AGAGGAGUACUGGCCUGAAGGCACUGCUAGUCGAGUCAGGGCUGCCAGGGCACCUGAACCAACUGGAACUUCUGCAGGAUCCCCGUCAUAUGGAAAAAGCCCGGGAAGUAGGAGGAAGAAGCAUAAAACAUCGGCUGUUGCUCAAUCUUCUCAAGUGAGCACUGAACCAAACGAGCCUGUUGUGCCUGAAAUUGUGGAGGACAUAGUUGACGAUCCUAAAGAUUCCUCAUCUGAGUAUGUAAUUUACCAGACAGAAACUAAAGAAGAUGAAGAAACUGAGUAUGAAUUAGACAAGAAAUUUGGACGCCCUC